UGGGGAAUAUUGCACAAUGGGCGCAAGCCUGAUGCAGCCAUGCCGCGUGUAUGAAGAAGGCCUUCGGGUUGUAAAGUACUUUCAGCGGGGAGGAAGGUGUUGAGGCUAAUAACCUCAGCAAUUGACGUUACCCGCAGAAGAAGCACCGGCUAACUCCGUGCCAGCAGCCGCGGUAAUACGGAGGGUGCAAGCGUUAAUCGGAAUUACUGGGCGUAAAGCGCACGCAGGCGGUCUGUCAAGUCGGAUGUGAAAUCCCCGGGCUCAACCUGGGAACUGCAUUCGAAACUGGCAGGCUAGAGUCUUGUAGAGGGGGGUAGAAUUCCAGGUGUAGCGGUGAAAUGCGUAGAGAUCUGGAGGAAUACCGGUGGCGAAGGCGGCCCCCUGGACAAAGACUGACGCUCGGGUGCGAAAGCGUGGGGAGCAAACA
Molecule: ribosomal RNA, 427 nt
Filed under: uncultured bacterium
Lineage: Bacteria
Description: partial 16S ribosomal RNA
Rfam family: Bacterial small subunit ribosomal RNA
Source: RNAcentral